GACGAACGCUGGCGGCGUGCCUAAUACAUGCAAGUAGAACGCACAGUUUAUACCGUAGCUUGCUACACCAUAGACUGUGAGUUGCGAACGGGUGAGUAACGCGUAGGUAACCUGCCUGGUAGCGGGGGAUAACUAUUGGAAACGAUAGCUAAUACCGCAUAAUAUUAAUUAUUGCAUGAUAAUUAAUUGAAAGGUGCAAUUGCACCACUACCAGAUGGACCUGCGUUGUAUUAGCUAGUAGGUGAGGUAACGGCUCACCUAGGCGACGAUACAUAGCCGACGUGAGAGGGGGGGCGCCCACACUGGGACUGACACGCGCCCAAGACCCAGAGGGGGGGAACAAGGAGGGAUUCUUGAGCAAGGGACGAAAGUCGGACCGAGCAACGCGGGGUGAGGAAAGAGGGUUUUGGGAUGAAAAAACUCUGUUGAAAGAAAAGAAGGGGUGGGGGAGGGAAAAGUACACACGGUGAGGGUAUUUAACCAAAAAGGGACGCAUAACUACGC
Molecule: ribosomal RNA, 504 nt
Filed under: uncultured bacterium
Lineage: Bacteria
Description: partial 16S ribosomal RNA
Rfam family: Bacterial small subunit ribosomal RNA
Source: RNAcentral